Molecule: long non-coding RNA, 3743 nt
Organism: Gavialis gangeticus (Gharial)
Lineage: Eukaryota; Metazoa; Chordata; Crocodylia; Gavialidae
Exons: 2
Source: RefSeq, a predicted model, not a curated record
UGUCCCCACUGGUGAUGCCACUGAUGGCUUCUGCAGGUGCUUGCCAGUCCCAUCCCUGCCACCGGUGGCUUUUGGACGUACCCCCCCAGACUCAGGAGGCACAAGUCUCCCAUGGCCCAAAGUCCAAGCAUGAACAAACAAAAGAGUAAUUUCAAACUCUUAUCUCUAUCCUUACCUCCACCAACUUGCCAGGGUGGAAGCAGUUAGUGCAGGUUAGUACAGGUGCUAACCCAGUAGCUUUAGGACACUGAAGAGCUGUAUGACUGUGACCAUAAAAUCUAACAGCCAAGAACAGAGAACUCCCCACCACCACCACCACCUUCAUAAUAUUAUGAUCCAGCAUUGCAGUAGCCACCUAACAGUAGAUUGCCUUCGUGAGUUCAUAAAGUUUUAGUCUGCAGUUAGUGAUCAUUUUCAUCUUUAAAAAAGGGCCAGAUAUGGUGAUUGAAAUUAAGACUAAAUACAUUUCAGUAAUGUAAGAGUAAAAAAAUUCUGCCGCAAAGAUACUUUUCCUGGUCUGUUGCUUUGAUCAUACAGUCCCUCCAUUGGUUUUUCUUCAUCACAUGAAACAAAAGUUAUUGGUUUUCACUUUCAUGGUUAUUCACUGCCUCUUCUUAGCAUACCUGUUCUCUCUCAUUUGCUACUGAGAGGUUGACUCCAUCAGUUCAUAAUGCCAGUGUCUAUCACCUAACUGUUAUGUUUUCAAACAAGCAUCUGUGUUUUUUCCUGUGCUGACCCUCUUGCUUUGGCAAGCUACACAUAAACAUCCACAAAGCUGUCCUCUUUUUAAUUAUUCCUUUAAAGAAUCUGUUUUUUUGUGGUUCCACAAAAUGGUUGACAGUAAUUAGAUCAAGACCCCUGUCUGUUAUACUGACAUGAUACUGUCUCAUUGUUUCCUUAUACUUCCAUAUUCUCUUUCAUUUAAUGUAUAUGCUGUCAUUUUUCAUGUACCCAGAUGGUAAGCCUUUUUGUUUUGUAUUGUAUGAUUCCUAAAAAGAAAAGACCUGGUCCAUGGCUAGUGUUAUGGUAAUAUAUUUAAUAAUUAUUGCAGGGAUGGUCUAACAAUCCCAACAUCAAGCAUGAACCUAGAAAAUACAGAGUGAAGGUGAAUCUUAAGUCAAGCACAUUAAACACAAAACCAGCUUCACAUCUCAGUAGUAAUGAAGUAAUCAUACUAUAAUCAUACAGCAAGUAUAUCAUAUUUUUAUAACCCUAAAUUUAAUUAUACUGGUUCAGUUUUUUAUUUUUUUCCUGAUGUCACUACAGGGUAGAAUUAAGUUUGGCUGACCAAGUAUGGCAUUUUAAAACUUUAUUGUGUCAGGAUAUCGCCUUACACCCUGUUAUUUGGAAACAAAAUAUUAAUAUUUUAGAGGCUUUUAUUUAUAAAUAAAUCAAAAAAUUUGAAACUGUGGAAUGAAAAGGACUUUCUUGCAGGCUUCUGGUAACUGGUUGCUGAAGGAUACAUGUGGGAGGUAGAAAGAAAACAAUUUAAAAUAAAAAGGUUAGGCUUUUGUUUUAUUUGUUUUGUUUGGUCAUAAAGUUCUAGGCUUGUUUGACAGUAAUUGUGACUCAGCUAUCACUGUGUGUAGGUAAGAGCUUUUAAAACCUUAGUAUUUUCUGGUCUUUUUCUUAGGUUCUUAUGGCUGUGUAUCAUUUGCAGCUAUCAGUAAGGAUUCAGUAAAAUCAUGUUUGUACUAUUCAGUCAUUCUAAAGCAUUUUUAGGUAGGUAUUGGCGGAAGCACAGGUGUCAGCAAACUAGGUCAAUGAGAGAACCCAGCUUUCCUUGGAGCCUAUAUCACCCUAAUUUAUGCAGGAAUAUUGGGAAGACUUACAAAAUGCGAACUAAUACCUAAAUUACAUAUGCUUACUUAUAUUAGAAGAGCAACAUUUGUUUUUCUUGUCUUCAGAUAGAAGCUGCUUGAAGCCUUGGAAACAUAAAGCUAUACAGUUUGUGUGAGUUUUUCUCUCUGUGGAUUUAACAAGGCUAGCUGCCAAUAUGUGCUGCCCUUGCUUUACUCAAAUCAUUUUCUAGAUCACUGGGAUGGAAUUUAAUUUUGUUAUACCAGAAGUUGCCAAUACUAUGUUACUAUUGGAAUUUUCACAAAUUAAUAUCAUGUUACUCUCUCAGUGUUUUCUCACCUCCUCAUCAUACUUCUGAUUACUAGUGUAGAACACAACUUUUUCUUACUUCAACAGGAAAGUUAAAGGUCCUGUAAUAUCAGUCAGGCAUCACUCUUAUACUCUCCAAUUUUAUUAAUUUGUUUAGGGUCAACCUGGCCCAAGUAAGAGAUGUUCCCAGCAAUGCAGUCAUGCUCUUUUCCACUCAGUGCAGAGGGAAUUCAGGCUCCUUCUUCUUCUUUAAAGUGUACUAGGUAAGCAGUUCCUGCUGGCCCUUGAGCAGAGGGGUUGCAGGUAUAGCUGUCUUUCUGUUGCAGUUAUGACAGUUCUUUUCACACAUGCAUUCUACCCCACUAUUGUAAAAUGUCCAAGAAUAUGAAACCAUUAUUUUUCAGUAUAAUUUCCACGAAUGACUGUUAUUUCUACAAGGUACAGUAAUUUAGAAAUGACUGGUGUUGUAGGAGUUUUACACAUUGAUCCAAAAGGCAGAGCUAUUAACAUAAUCUGUUGCUGAACUACCAAAAGGCAAAUAACAGAGCUCCUGAGGAUGUCCAUGAUGAGAUGUCAUAAAGAGCAAGAAUAUUAGCUGUAUGAAGACAUGAUCUGAAAACUAAGCAUCUGAGAAGCUAAAAUUCUGUUAAAACUAGUCAUGGAAUAAAUGCAACUGGAUACAAUAUUGUGGGAGUUGUUAAUCAAUCGAGCCUUUUUUUUAGUCUGUGCCAUCUGCUAUCCUUCCCAUGCUUGUUUGUUCUUGUCAGUGAUAUACUGAAAGACAAGAAAGAAAUAAGCCUUGUUAAGUGUCGUCACGGCCCUGGAAAAGGCCACGGGCUCAGUGGUCUGGUGCUUACCCGGACCAGAAUGUUGAUCACGUGUUCAUUUGCUUUAACCUCACUGUGGAAAUACCCGACUCUUGCCUGCUACAUUUUGAUGUUUCAGUGAUGUUUUAGAUUGGGAGGUAUUAGUCUUCACUGUAGCUGGCUGAGGCCAAUCUGGAUAGGGACUUCGUCUGGGGCUCUAACCUCCCCUACAUCCCGUCCUAGCACCAACCAAAUGUUACACCACCAAAUUACACUGGUAGAUCUUGAUGGGUGGUCUUGUCUAGACUCUUUUUUUUCUUGUAGACUCACAAGUGUUUCAAAAGAAAGCUUCAACUGAACCAAAAGAAGAUAACUCCAGGACCUUCUUUCCAGUCCCAGCCAGCAUCCCCCGGCUCAACAGAGCCCAGCUGGACUCUCCUGCCGGCCUGCAGCCAACUCCCUGGGGCUUGGAUCCUUCUGCCGGACGUCUCAUGGUUAAGGACUCAGCUCCCCUCUCACUGGCUGUCUCCAUGCUUUCCUCUCCCCUUCUGGCGUGUGUCCCCAGCCUGUGCAACUCCGGGGCUGCUCUACCUGAAUGGAGGAACCAUGGUUCUUGUGGCAUUCUCUUUUUUGGCACUGUAGUCUCUCCCGCUGUGGUGAGUUUAACCAGUUUUUCCUUUCUUCCUUCACAUUAAGCACUACUGCUCCGUAGUCUAAAUCAACUCAUGCUUUUGAAAUAUGCAUAAAAAGUAUCUGUAUGAACUUGGAAUAAAAACAUUCCAGGGGUACUAUAUCAACUCAUUGUGCCAAAAUAUAACUUUUAAAAUU